This 552-nucleotide ribosomal RNA is filed under the name uncultured Geobacteraceae bacterium. RNAcentral describes it as "bacterial SSU rRNA". It matches the Rfam family "Bacterial small subunit ribosomal RNA", at positions 9 to 540 of the family's 1533-position model. Lineage: Bacteria; Pseudomonadati; Thermodesulfobacteriota; Desulfuromonadia; Geobacterales; Geobacteraceae. The record is from RNAcentral.
GAGUUUGAUCCUGGCUCAGAACGAACGCUGGCGGCGUGCUUAACACAUGCAAGUCGAACGUGAUCCGGAGCUUGCUCCGGUGAAAGUGGCGCACGGGUGAGUAACGCGUGGAUAAUCUGCCCUGGUAUCUGGGAUAACAUCUCGAAAGGGGUGCUAAUACCGGAUAAGCCUACGGGAUCCUCGGAUUCUGCAGGAAAAGGUGGCCUCUAUUUAUAAGCUACCGUAUCAGGAUGAGUCCGCGUACCAUUAGCUAGUUGGUGGGGUAAUGGCCUACCAAGGCGACGAUGGUUAGCUGGUCUGAGAGGAUGAUCAGCCACACUGGAACUGAGACACGGUCCAGACUCCUACGGGAGGCAGCAGUGGGGAAUUUUGCGCAAUGGGGGAAACCCUGACGCAGCAACGCCGCGUGAGUGAUGAAGGCUUUCGGGUCGUAAAGCUCUGUCAGAGGGGAAGAAAUGAAACGUGCUAAUAUCACGUUUUCUUGACGGUACCCUCAAAGGAAGCACCGGCUAACUCCGUGCCAGCAGCCGCGGUAAUACAAGGGCRARWUCK